RNAcentral lists this ribosomal RNA (253 nucleotides) under uncultured bacterium. Its description in RNAcentral is "partial 16S ribosomal RNA". It matches the Rfam family "Bacterial small subunit ribosomal RNA", at positions 524 to 776 of the family's 1533-position model. The record is from RNAcentral.
UACGGAGGGAGCUAGCGUUAUCCGGAAUUACUGGGCGUAAAGCGCACGUAGGCGGCUUUGUAAGUUAGAGGUGAAAGCCUGGGGCUCAACUCCAGAAUUGCCUUUAAGACUGCAUCGCUUGAAUCAUGGAGAGGCGAGUGGAAUUCCGAGUGUAGAGGUGAAAUUCGUAGAUAUUCGGAAGAACUCCAGUGGCGAAGGCGGCUCGCUGGACAUGUAUUGACGCUGAGGUGCGAAAGCGUGGGGAGCAAACAGG